CCAAACCUAGUUACCCUGUAUCAACAAAUUAGAGAACUUCCAUUGAAAUUUUUCUCAUUGCUGCCUUUGGAAAAAAGCCCCUCCGAUUGCCGGCCCAAAAAUUUGUCGGCGUUGUAGAGAACCCUAAUCGAAUGAGAGCAACGGCAACAUCUGCUAUUGUAAGCUCUUUAUUUCUUCCUUCGUUCCAAUUUUUAGAUGUUUGUGAAGUGUUUUUAGAAAGGGGAAGAAUAUCUGAUUUAAAUGUGUAUGUAAUUGCAUUUCUUUGAUGUAUUGUGACUUGGGAGAAAUAACUAUAUUCUAUUGGAGGGUUUUUUACCCAGAGAUAUUUCGAGAGGUCAAAACGAGGAGAACAAAGCAACAAUUCAGUACACUUAGAUUAUUAAUUUACUAUUAAGUAAUGGUUUUUUCGAUCAUUUACUGAAAGUUCAUAAUCUUGCAG
RNAcentral lists this long non-coding RNA (439 nucleotides) under Erythranthe guttata (spotted monkey flower). RNAcentral describes it as "long non-coding RNA (EGUT_LNC002129)". Lineage: Eukaryota; Viridiplantae; Streptophyta; Magnoliopsida; Lamiales; Phrymaceae. The record is from RNAcentral.